Molecule: long non-coding RNA, 4108 nt
Organism: Ictalurus punctatus (channel catfish)
Lineage: Eukaryota; Metazoa; Chordata; Actinopteri; Siluriformes; Ictaluridae
Source: Ensembl
ACAAAAGCACCAUGAUAUUUUCGUUUUUUGCAUUUAGAGUGCCUUAUAUUUAUGCCUGUUCUCUUUUUUAUAAUAUUAAUUUACCAUGUACCGUUUUGAGUAGUCCAGUAUUUAUCUAUGUAUCACUCAUUUUAAUUUCCAUUAUAUGAGAUUAUAUAUGCAAAUAACGUCCAUCGGUCCUGUUUUCUUUCCUUACUGAGGCCUUACUCCGGCUCAGUGAACGGGCGAAAAAGGUGAAUUAGUUGGUAUAAUAUGUGACUAUCGUAUUCUACGCUUUACAGCUCAGUCGCAGCAGGAGGUCCAGAUGAGCUGUUCUCACUAGUUCUGUUUCUCUGAAGACCAAACCGUCACGGUGGAACAAAUCUCGCUGUUUCGAGACAGUCUCCGGAGAGAGGGGCGCACAGUGUACACUCGAACCGAAAGGGAACUCGCUGAGCCUUUUUUCGCCUUGUCGUUAAAUACAGGACAUGGAGACUUGGUACCUAUGAAAUAAUAAUAAUAAUAAUAAUAAAACAAAACACUCAUUGGAAGCAUGUGUGGAAAGUUGUAAACGGUGAGGGGCGGGGUUAGCGCUCAGAGCUAUUCGCUAUUGCGGUUCCUUUCCUGUGAGUUAUGACGCGGACUAGCUUCGUUAAUCUCGACAAUCUUGUAACAUACUAAGCGAUGGACCUGCGAUGAUCUUUUAUUGUGUAACAUAGCGGACGUGAUGUUCGAACUUUUUGCUGGUUUUUAUUUACGUCAAUCGUCGGGCUUGUGGAUGUGCAUUCCAGGUGCUUUCUUUCCCUUGUCUCAUUUCAAACAGUUCUCUUUGGGUUUGUCCCCACCCCCCCACCCCGCCAUCUUUUAUGUCGAGACAGCCGCCAAGCUACAAAGUGCUAUUAUUUAGCUUCACAUAAAUGUCAGCGCCACCUAGUGUCAUCGUUAAGUAUUUUCACAAAAUUUCACGGAUGUCUGUGUUCAACAGGGUGUUGUUUUUUUUCUCGUUUUUUUUUUCUUCAUUUUUUAAAAAACUUUUUUCCAUCCUCAACCUUAUUUCAAUAUGCAUGGGAAGCUUCGCAGAGGGCCAAUGGAGGCCUGGUAGGAAGAAUUGCACUUUCUCUAUCUUUGUACUAUGCACUGCCCUAUUGAUUCUAUACCCAAUAAUGUAUUACUUGAAAGCAUCUGUAAGAAUUCUCCUUCAGCGUUCAUGUUGUGUGUAUGUAAAUAACACAAACUGAUGGGAUGGGAUGGGAAGGGAGGGGUGGGGUGGGGGUGGGGCGUGAGGUCUCGCAUUUAAAAAAAAAAAAAAAAAAUGUGGCAAAAAAAACGCAUCCUUACUGGUGCCAUGAGAUCUUCAGCAGGAGAUUUUUUGUUUUUGUCCCCUUCAUAAGUUUUGUGGCUUUGCCAUUCAAGACUGGAGUGUCAUAACAGAAAUCAACGUGGUGUUCUCUGCUCUCUCUCUCUAUCUAUCUCACGUCUGGAUGCAUAGAUUGAAAUUAAUGAAUUCAAUUGUAAAAAAAAAAAAAAGAAAAGAAAAAAAAACGAAAAAAAAAUGGCUUGUUAAAAAGAAUCAUAAAAAAUUACCUCCGAUUAGUUGUAAGCGUAAUUUUUGUUUCUUUUAUUUUUAUUUUUUUGUUGUUGUUUCUUUUACCCCCCCCCCCCCCCCCCCCUGAACGAAUGGAGUGCUUUUUAUUUUCUUACAUAGGUUCUAUUGGUGGCGGAAGACGUCUGUACGACGAGCAGGUCUUUGCUGACUCAAGGUCCAUUUGUUAUAAAUGAAUUCUAUUAAAAAAAUGUAAGUGUUAUGAAUUAGAGUCUCACUCUUCUUCUGUAGUCUCAUCAUCGUGGCACGGCGAUCGAUCGCGGCUUAUAGUUCUGUUCUAGUGACCCGAAGGUCGUGACAUGCUGCUAACCCUGAACCGUUCAGCUUCUGACACACUUGUAGGUAAGUUUCUUGGGAUAAAAUCGAAUAUAGAAUGUACAACGGAUAUAAAAGUUUUACACCGCCCUGUUCAGAUGGCGGGUUUUUCCAAAGUAAAAGAACUAAGGUCAAUCAUGUCAGAACUUUAGCCACCUUUAAUGUGAAAUUGCAAAGUAUUCAAAUGAAAUCAGAAACUAAAGCCAUCAAAUUGUGAAGGCGUUUCCUGUGCACAACCCUCUUCAGGUCACCCCACAGAUUUGCAGUUGGAUUCAGGUCUGGGCUCUGGCAUUCAACAACCUAGAUCUUCUUUUGUUAAGUCCAUUCCUUUGUUGAGCAGACACCUGAAUGUUUUGCUCUAAAAUGGACUGGCAUGUAUAAUAAUCCACGAUUCAGUCCACUUUGAUAAAAGCCCAAGUUCUGGCUGAAGAAAAGUAGCCCGAAAGCAUGAUGCUGCCACCACCGUGCUUCACGGUGUUCAUUUGGUGAUGUGCUUUUUUUUUUUUUUUUUGCUGUUGCACCAAACCAAAUCUUUUGGUAGUAUGGAAUUAUUAUACCUUUUGGAAUUGGUCUCGGAUCAGAACACAUUUUGCCACACGGUUUGGGGUGAUUUAGUUGAGCUUGGAUCUUUUUUGUGAGAAAGCGGUUCCGUCUAGCCGCCCUACCCCAAAACCCAGAAAUGUGAAGAAUACAAGGAAUUGUACUCACAUGCAGAGAGUAAUCAAUACAUAUUCUUAGUCGGCUAUUCCUGCAGCUUCUUUAAUGUUACUGUAGGUCUCUCAGCAGCCUCCCUGGUAAGUGUUUGGUCUCGUCCUUUUAUACGUUUUGGAUGGACGUUCUUGGUGACGUCACUGUCGUGCUCCAUUUUCUCCACUUGGUGGCCUUCACAAUGUUUCAUGGUACAUCUAAUGUUUUGGAUGUUCUUGUAUACCCCUAACGUGAUUGAUUCCUUUUGACAAGUGAGAUACCAUGCAUGCUUUGUGAGCUCUUUGCGGACCAUGGCUUCAAAAGUCGGAGGAACCCAAGAAGAUAUGGAGAAACUCCUACAGAAACAGCCGGUCUGUUCCGAAUAAUUUCAUAGAUGACAGCUGUAUGAUAAUUACUUUUGAACAUGAGAUCGAAUGUGAAUGGGUCAUUCUGCACAAAGCCACACCCGCAAUUGUAAAAGGGUGUGCACACUUAUACAACCAGGUCAUUGGAACUUUUUCUUACUUUUUCCUUCAAAUGUUUCCGAUUGUUUUUCUCUUCAUUUUCAUACGUUCUGAUCUCACACCGAGGCUUGAAAAUGUUCGGACCUGACUUGUCUCAGUUUCAUUUGUCUUACUUCAUAAAGCCUGCCAUUUUAUCAGGGGUGCGUAGACUUUUUAUACCCACUGUAUAAUUGUAAAUGCUUCUCCAGGUUCUGCUUCUUCAGCACAGAGAUGCAGAUACAAAUGCAGUCAGAUCAAAACGUGAAUAAAACUCACCUGGUGGAAACGACAAUUCCACUGAAAAGGAAAGGAUAUGUGGCAUGAAGGAUAUUUUUAUUAGCUGCUUUAUUAGACGUAUUUAUGAGCCUUAUGAGAAUAGAAAAUGGGAGGAGUUCAUCACAUUGGACUUUUGUCUCUCUUUUUAGUCCUUACUGUUGCUUGGUGCACAUCUGGAAAAUAAAUAAAUAAAUAAAUAAAUAAAUAAAUAAAUAAAUAAAUAAAUGUCUCAUCCACUUUACCACUCUUGUGGUAAAAUUCUGUUGACCUUUGCUAGGAUUUUCCUCUCAGAAAUUCUUCUUGUGCGAUCCAACAUUGAAACUAGAAAGAAAGUGAGGCUGAAUAUUUUAUAUAAAAGUGCAAACUAGAAAAUGAAAAAUAAAAAUACAUUUACAAGGUGGAUGGUUUGAUGGUAAGUUUAAGGUGCGGCCAGCUAAAAUGGCGAAGCAGAAAUACACCCGACACAAAUGUCCUCCUCCCCUCCUUCUGUUGUCUUCAAUAAGGGCAAUAAUUGCCACGAUGGCCAUCAUUAAAGCCUCAAGAACACCUAAAAAUAUAUAUAUAUUAACUACUGUUUCCCCCACACUGAUAGUUCAGAAGACCACAUCUUCAGGAAGUAAAAUUUGGGAGAUAAUUUCACAGAAUUUUCUUGACUGUGUGUAUUGUAUUUUCAAAUGAAAAUAUUUGAGUUGAAAUAAAACAAGAAAAAAAAAUUACUUUUGGUAUUUGCUUGCUUUUUAAAAAA